RNAcentral lists this ribosomal RNA (450 nucleotides) under uncultured bacterium. RNAcentral describes it as "partial 16S ribosomal RNA". It matches the Rfam family "Bacterial small subunit ribosomal RNA", at positions 338 to 795 of the family's 1533-position model. The record is from RNAcentral.
CCUACGGGUGGCUGCAGUGAGGAAUAUUGGUCAAUGGGCGAGAGCCUGAACCAGCCAUGCCGCGUGCAGGAAGACGGCCCUACGGGUUGUAAACUGCUUUUGUUUGGGAAGAAAAGGCGCUACGUGUAGUGCACUGACGGUACCAGAUGAAUAAGCAUCGGCUAACUCCGUGCCAGCAGCCGCGGUAAUACGGAGGAUGCGAGCGUUAUCCGGAUUUAAGGGGUUUUAAGGGGAAGGAGGCGGCAGUCGAGAAAUCCCCCAGCUUAACUGGGGAACUGCCAUAGAUACUGGUUUUCUUGAGUACAGUUGAAGUAGGCGGAAUGUGUAAUGUAGCGGUGAAAUGCUUAGAUAUUACACAGAACACCGAUUGCGAAGGCAGCUUGCUAAGCUGUUACUGACGCUGAUGCACGAAAGCGUGGGGAGCGAACAGGAUUAGAUACCCGUGUAGUC